Molecule: ribosomal RNA, 450 nt
Filed under: uncultured bacterium
Lineage: Bacteria
Description: partial 16S ribosomal RNA
Rfam family: Bacterial small subunit ribosomal RNA
Source: RNAcentral
GUGGGGAAUCUUCCACAAUGGACGAAAGUCUGAUGGAGCAACGCCGCGUGAGUGAAGAAGGUUUUCGAAUCGUAAAGCUCUGUUGUCAGGGACGAAUGUUGAGACCGAGAAUAUUGGUUUCAAAUGACGGUACCUGACGAGGAAGCCACGGCUAACUACGUGCCAGCAGCCGCGGUAAUACGUAGGUGGCGAGCGUUGUCCGGAAUUAUUGGGCGUAAAGGGAGCGCAGGUGGGCUGUCAAGUCUGUCUUAAAAGUGCGGGGCUUAACCCCGUGAUGGGAUAGAAACUGGCAGUCUUGAGUGCAGGAGAGGAAAGCGGAAUUCCUAGUGUAGCGGUGAAAUGCGUAGAUAUUAGGAAGAACACCAGUGGCGAAGGCGACUUUCUGGACGAAAACUGACGCUGAGGCGCGAAAGCCAGGGGAGCGAACGGGAUUAGAUACCCGGGUAGUCC